This 1229-nucleotide long non-coding RNA is filed under the name Citrus x clementina. RNAcentral describes it as "Citrus clementina (C. clementina) long non-coding RNA (CCLE_LNC004845)". The record is from RNAcentral. Lineage: Eukaryota; Viridiplantae; Streptophyta; Magnoliopsida; Sapindales; Rutaceae.
CUGUAUCCGCGACUUCCCGCGGGCACCCCGAGGUUCCUCGCAAAGUCUCGCCCCAUUCCGAGUCCGGCGGACGAACUUCGCCGGCGCCCCCCACCAAGGCUAUAGCCCACCCGUUUUUUGGCCAUUUUUCCAUUGGGGGGUUUUGGCACCACGACCUUCGGGCGCUUAUUUUUGGCCGCGGCUUUGCCCGCGGCUUAUUUUUGGCACCCUGAGACCCCUCGCAAAGUCUCGCCCCAUUCCGAGUCCGGCGGACGAAAUUCGCCCGCGCCCCCCACCAAGGCUAUAGCCCACCCGUUUUUUGGCCAUUUUUCCGCUGGGGGGUUUUGGCACCACGACCUUCGGGCGCUUAUUUUUGGGAGCGGCUUUGCCCACGGAUUAUUUUUGGCGCCCCGAGGCCCCUCGCAAAGUCUCGUCCCAUUCCGAGUCCGGCGGACGAACUUCGCCCGCGCCCCCCACCCAGGCUAUAUCCCACCCGUUUUUUGGCCAUUUUUCCGCUGGGGGGUUUUGGCACCACGAGCUUCGGGCGCUUAUUUUUGGCCGCGGCUUUGCCCGCGGCUUAUUUUUGGCACCCUGAGACCCCUCGCAAAGUCUCGCCCCAUUCCGAGUCCGGCGGACGAAAUUCGCCCGCGCCCCCCACCAAGGCUAUAGCCCACCCGUUUUUUGGCCAUUUUUCCGCUGGGGGGUUUUGGCACCACGACCUUCGGGCGCUUAUUUUUGGGAGCGGCUUUGCCCACGGAUUAUUUUUGGCGCCCCGAGGCCCCUCGCAAAGUCUCGUCCCAUUCCGAGUCCGGCGGACGAACUUCGCCCGCGCCCCCCACCCAGGCUAUAUCCCACCCGUUUUUUGGCCAUUUUUCCGCUGGGGGGUUUUGGCACCACGAGCUUCGGGCGCUUAUUUUUGGGCGCGGCUUUGCCCGCGGCUUAUUUUUGGCACCCCGAGGUCCCUCACAAAGUCUCGCCCCAUUCCGAGUCCGGCGGACGAACUUCGCCCGCGCCCCCCACCAAGGCUAUAGCCCACCCGUUUUUUGGCCAUUUUUCCGCUGGGGGGUUUUGGCACCACGACCUUCGGGUGCUUAUUUUUGGGCGCGGCUGUAUCCGCGACUUCCCGCGGGCACCCCGAGGCCCCUCGCAAAGUCUCGCCCCAUUCCGAGUCCGGCGGACGAACUUCGCCGGCGCCCCCCACCAAGGCUAUAGCCCACCCGUUUUUUGGCCAUUUUUCCGCCGGGGGGUUU